AAUAUUGGGACAUAUAAAAAAAGACAACUCUGUUCCACAGAGUAGCUGUUGACAUUAUAGUUGCGCAGGCACUUUGUUGACUCUAGAGAACCUCGGGCCAAUUGCACAUCCCCGUGGUGGCGAGUUUGCAUGUGGAUGUCAUCUAUAACAACUUUCGUUGCCAGUUUCUGCACCUACCAUGGUGAGCAUGGGUGACAGGGAAUCACGGUUCCAUUCUGUACAGGGACCCUGAGAAAUGGCUACCACAUGCAAGGAAGACAGCAGGCGCGUAAAUGACCCACUCCCGACGCGGGAAGGUAGUGA
Molecule: non-coding RNA, 303 nt
Organism: Pelobates cultripes (western spadefoot toad)
Lineage: Eukaryota; Metazoa; Chordata; Amphibia; Anura; Pelobatidae
Source: the annotation of a GenBank genome assembly